Molecule: long non-coding RNA, 2020 nt
Organism: Armigeres subalbatus
Lineage: Eukaryota; Metazoa; Arthropoda; Insecta; Diptera; Culicidae
Exons: 3
Source: RefSeq, a predicted model, not a curated record
GAUCCGACGGGAGGCGAGGCGAGGUGCACAGCGGGCAAGGUGGAUCGAUCAGAUGGAGGACGAUUUGCGGACCCUCCGCAGACUGCGUGGUUGGCGAAGUGCAGCCUUGGACCAAGCUGAAUGGAGAAGACUUUUAUGUGCAGCACAGGCCAUUCCGGCCUUAGUCUGAAAAAUAAUAAUAAAAAUAUCUUCAUUCCUAGGGAGUGGAUCAGUUAACCACAGUCGGCCAUAGAAUUCAUCCGGGCUGAUUCAAGUUUCAAUUUCAAAAUAAUUGACCGUUUUUUCCGGCUAUGAAAAGGUCAUCCUUAUACAGAAUGAGCUUCGAUCGUCACGAAGUCCGUGCAGCUAUUUGGUUUCGCCGGCGAAAUAGAUAUUAUGGCACGUAGCUCUGAGAAGAUGAAGAAUUAAAGAGGGAAGCUAAGCGGAUCGUACUAGCCAUCAACCCGUCGAAGACGUAGUACAUAAUAGGAAGAGGCUCAAGUGGGGGCAACAUUAGCCACCCACCACGAAUUUGUAUCGCUGGUGGCGAAAUCGACGUGGUCGUGUACUUGGGCCCACUCGUGUCCUCCGAUAACGAUUCAAGCAGAGAAUACUGGAAACGCAUCGUGGUAAGAAAUCGUACGUACUUUGAACUCACAAAACGUUCCGCUCCAAACUAAACUGACUAUCUACAAAACGUUCAUUGGACCGGUAGUUCUCUAUGGACACGAGACCUGAACAAUGUUCGAAGAGGCCCAACGUGCAAUUGGAGUUUUUGAAAGGAAAUUCAGGUGAAACUUACGUGUCCAGUGAAUUUUAUUUGAAAACUAAGGUGAAAGAUACAUGAAUUUCCGGUGGAAAAAAUAUUCAUACUUUUUCUUCAGUUGGAAACAACGUGCAGAUUUUUUUAAGAGUGUGCCUAUUUUGAAAUUCGCAACCACACGAUCCUUGCACUGUAAACCUGACAAUACCCAUUAAAGAGUUGAAAAGACCCAUUAUUUGAUGAUAUAUUGAGCUGUCAUAAUAAUGAGUAUUUUGAAAUUAUUGAUAAUGUGUUCUUUUUCCCCAUUUCGAAGUUGAAAGUUUUUACUCAUUAGUGGGUGAAAAUCGACUUGAACGAGAACGAGGAGAAGCAGGAACGAAUUCGAAUAAAUUAAAUCUAACGGUUCAUCAAUUUACUUUCGUGUUGGUCGAUAACAACACAAAACCAUAUUUAUCGCCGGAUAACUUCAGCUACUGUCACUGUUAAGUUUUGCGAAGAACCGUCAAGGCAAUCAGGAGACGUACCUCCCGUGAAACCCGGAAUCGGACGAUGAAAAAGGAAUCGUUUUGUUUGCUUCUCGGUUAAAUAUGCGAUUGGAACUGGUAAGCAAAUUCCGCCGGACAAAAAACGGUAACGCCGGUCAGGACGGAAAUAUGCCUUUGCCAUCCCAUGGACUCCCAGAGCCGCUGACGUUAAAGAAACCGUCAUGUUUGCUUCCCGUGAGAAUGAACGAUUGGGAUAGAGGAGUGAGCUCGUCAUGUCCUCGGAGGAUUGGUACUAACCAAAAUAUUGUGAAGAAGUUCCUCGGCAUUGAAUCCCUCCUGAUGUCGUUAGUCACCCAAUCCAGCGGACCCAACCAGUUGUCGAUCGGCGAUAUCUCCGGGAAGCAACUUAGUGGGGUGAUUUUUGUUGCCUAGAAUUACACAAUGCCAUUCAAAAGCUGAACACCGGACGGAAAAUGAUAUCAGAUAGAUUCCGGACAUUUCCGCUGGUCCGGUUUUGAUAGAUUAUAGGAGCUAAAGUGAAUUGUAUUUUGUUUAUGUGGUGUGAAUAAAUACUAUCAUAUUUCUGCGUAUUAUUAAAAUCAAAAAAUUGCUUUAUUAACAGCCUAGUUUUAAGAUUAUUUUAGUUUUUAAGAAUGCUUUUCAAAAUAAUAAAGAGUGAUUUUUACACAUUUUCUAGAAAAACAUUUUUCAAAUAAUGUGUAAAAAUCACUCGCUGAACUGACGUACGGGCGGUUUACCCAUUAAUGAGUAAACGCUGUUUACUCUUUUAAUG